RNAcentral lists this transfer RNA (75 nucleotides) under Oscillospiraceae bacterium. RNAcentral's name for it is "tRNA-Arg". It matches the Rfam family "tRNA". From Rfam's summary of the family: Transfer RNA (tRNA) molecules are approximately 80 nucleotides in length. Lineage: Bacteria; Bacillati; Bacillota; Clostridia; Eubacteriales; Oscillospiraceae. The record is from RNAcentral.
GCCUCCGUAGUUAAAUGGAUAUAAUAACUCCCUCCUAAGGAGUAGUUCUGGGUUCGAUUCCCGGCGGGGGUGCCA